This 287-nucleotide unclassified non-coding RNA is filed under the name Hevea brasiliensis (rubber tree). Lineage: Eukaryota; Viridiplantae; Streptophyta; Magnoliopsida; Malpighiales; Euphorbiaceae. The record is from RNAcentral.
GGAUGACCAUCAUUGUCAGUUUCUUACGUUUCUGAAAACCUUCAUAUUGCUCAAGGACAAUAUCCUGAAUCUGGAAAUGGUAAGUUUGAAGGCAUUGAUCGGAGGCUUCUUUAGUAGCAAAACGUUUCUGAAGAAGCGUUAGGAAGAUCCGAGCCUCUUUCCGGGUAACCGGAUCCUCCAGUCGUUCAAGGAGUGAUCGGAGCAUACUGUAAGCAGUAUCACCGGACUGCUCACACCGUUUGAGGAAGUCAUCGAUCGACGUACAGAGUCCAUUCACCGCCAUUUCU